GCCAUGCAUGUCUAAGUACACACUUUGACACAGUGAAACCGCGAAUGGCUCAUUAAAUCAGUUAUUGUUUAUUUGGACCUACCACCUACUUGGAUAACCGUGGCAAUUCUAGGGCUAAUACAUGCAACAAAGCUCCGACUUUUUGGGAGGAGCGCUUUUAUUAGAUCAAGACCAAUCGGUUCUUCGAACCGUCCCUUUGGUGACUCUGGAUAACUUAGCCGAUCGCAUGGCCUUGCGCUGGCGACGUACCAUUCAAAUUUCUGCCUCAUCAACUGUCGAUGGUAAGUUAUGUGCUUACCAUGGUUGUAACGGGUAACGGGGAAUUAGGGUUCGAUUCCGGAGAGGGAGCCUGAGAAACGGCUACCACAUCCAAGGAAGGCAGCAGGCGCGCAAAUUACCCACUCCCGGCUCGGGGAGGUAGUGACGAAAAAUAACAAUGCAGGACUUUUUUCGAGCCCUGUAAUUGGAAUGAGUGCACUUUAAAUCCUUACACGAGGAUCUAUUGGAGGGCAAGUCUGGUGCCAGCAGCCGCGGUAAUUCCAGCUCCAAUAGCGUAUAUUAAAGUUGUUGCAGUUAAAAAGCUCGUAGUUGGAUCUCGGCCACGGUGGUGUGGUGGCCCUCGCGGGUCUGGCCGCAUUCACCUGGCGUUUCUUCCACUUUUCCCCUUGGUGCUCUUUACUGCAGUGCUUCGGGGAGGGUGGACUUUUUACUUUGAAGAAAUUAGAGUGUUCAAAGCAGGCCCACGAGCCUGAAUAAUGGUGCAUGGAAUAAUGGAAUACGAUUUCGGUCUUGUUCUGUUGGUCUUCGAGACACGAGAUAAUGAUUAAGAGGGACGGCCGGGGGCGUUCGUAUUGCACCGUGAGAGGUGAAAUUCUUGGAUCGGUGCAAGACGCACUACAGCGAAAGCAUUCGCCAANAAUGUUUUCAUUAAUCAAGAACGAAAGUUGGAGGUUCGAAGACGAUCAGAUACCGUCGUACUUCCAACUGUAAACGAUGCCAACUAGCGAUCAGGGAGAGUUAACUCAAUGACUUUCCUGGCAGCUUCCGGGAAACCAAAGUUUUUGGGUUCCGGGGGAAGUAUGGUUGCAAAGCUGAAACUUAAAGGAAUUGACGGAAGGGCACCACCAGGAGUGGAGCCUGCGGCUUAAUUUGACUCAACACGGGAAAACUCACCCGGCCCGGACACCGUGAGGAUUGACAGAUUGAGAGCUCUUUCUUGAUUCGGUGGGUGGUGGUGCAUGGCCGUUCUUAGUUGGUGGAGCGAUUUGUCUGGUUAAUUCCGAUAACGAACGAGACUCUGGCUUGCUAAAUAGUUGGUUGACGCCUUGUGCGCCGACCUUCAACUUCUUAGAGGGAUUAGUGGCGUCUAGCCACACGAGAUUGAGCAAUAACAGGUCUGUGAUGCCCUUAGAUGUUCGGGGCCGCACGCGCGCUACACUGAGGGGGUCAACAAGCGUUUUUCCUUGCCCGAAAGGGCUGGGUAACCUUUUGAAACCUUCUCGUGCUAGGGAUAGGGAAUUGUAAUUAUCUCCCUUGAACGAGGAAUUCCUAGUAAGCGCAAGUCAUUAGCUUGCGUUGAUUACGUCCCUGCCCUUUGUACACACCGCCCGUCGCUACUACCGAUUGAACGAUUUAGUGAGAGCCUCGGACUGGUCUCGUCGAUGCUCGCAAGGGCGUCAGUGUGGACCGGAAAGUUGUUCAAACUUGAUCGUUUAGAGGAAGUAAAAGUCGUAACAAGGUUU
Molecule: ribosomal RNA, 1742 nt
Filed under: Protodrilus sp. 5 KW168
Lineage: Eukaryota; Metazoa; Annelida; Polychaeta; Protodrilidae
Description: SSU rRNA
Rfam family: Eukaryotic small subunit ribosomal RNA
Source: RNAcentral